CUCAGUAAAAGAAUAGGCAUGGAUCUGGCUAGAGGCUGCAGGUCUUCCAAAGCUCUGCUUUCCUAUGGAGUGCUUAAAAUAAUAUGCCCAGGCUUUCAUUGACCAUCAAAGUUUGCCCUGUUUAUUAGCAGAUGAAUCUCCCCUGGGAAAGCAACAUUUUUCCUCACGUAGCUGUCUUUUAUGAAUCACUUACUAUGGAUCAGUCAUAAAAAAAAACCUGUAUGUAUAUUUUCUCAUUAAACUAGAAUUAUAAUGCCUACUCUGUGAGAUGCUGUAGGUUCCCCAUUUUGAGGCCCACGAGUUUAAAGAACAAGAUAAUAUAGCCAAUUAGCAGCCACAAUAAGAUUCAAAGUCCGUUAAUUCUGUUCGCAGACAGAAUGCUCAACCACCACUCUAGGCUGCCUUUAGGAAGUCCACAUAGCUAUAAUGUAUGUUUUCUUUGUGCUAUAUCACAGCCAUGGAAGCAUAAAGACAAAGGCAGGAGUUAAAGAGACAGCCUAGGAAUGAAUAAAAUUUUCUUGUCUUAAAAACAUUUAAAGAGUGAUGAUAAGAAACAGACAUGACCUCUCCUAUCUAGAAAUGUAAAUAUAAAAGGUAAGUACACCAAAUGAAAUAAGCAAAUAAAAUGCUGCCUUUAUAGAACACAUUCAGAACUUCCGAAGAAAAACUGGAGUUACCGACUGAAGCAAGCUUGAUAAUGUAGAAGAAUAAGUAACAUAGUGUGAAACAUAUGUGUUUAUAGGAGUAAAUAAAAUAUCGCUUUAGAUGACUGUAGCACUUGGUAUAUAUUAAGGAAAUCAUGAAUAGUGUUUGCUUAGCUAGAAUAAAGAAAUUUACCUUGGUGCUUAUACAAGAUGAGACAAAUAAGCAAAGAGGUUGAAAACAGGAAGGGAUAAGUGUCUAUUAUUUAAAAAUUCAAUUUAAUUCAACAGUUAUUUAUAUAGUAAGCAACUACUCUCAUCCUGGCACUGCAUAACAUGUCAGCAGAUGAAGGAG
Molecule: long non-coding RNA, 996 nt
Filed under: Pan troglodytes (chimpanzee)
Lineage: Eukaryota; Metazoa; Chordata; Mammalia; Primates; Hominidae
Description: lncRNA (ENSPTRG00000053315.1)
Source: RNAcentral